UAUAUCAUGAUGAUAGCUCUUUUAUAGAUGAGUUUGAUCACCGAGGUCGUUGGAAGAGAGAGCCUAUCACCUUGACCUUUGCAGUACUCAUGGGACUGGGGAUAGCGGCUGGAGUUGGUACGGGGGCCGCUGCAUUAAUUCAGACCCCCCAAUAUUAUGAGGAAUUACGAGCAGCUAUGGAUACUGACCUUAGAUCCAUAGAACAAUCUAUAACUAAACUAGAAGAGUCUUUAACCUCCCUGUCUGAAGUGGUACUACAGAAUAGAAGGGGACUAGAUUUAUUAUUCCUCAAAGAAGGGGGACUCUGUGCUGCUCUAAAAGAAGAAUGUUGUUUUUAUGUUGAUCAUUCUGGAGUGAUCAAGGAUUCGAUGGCUAAACUUAGAGAGCGCUUAGAUAUACGGAAAAAGGAAAGAGAA
This 416-nucleotide long non-coding RNA is filed under the name Rattus norvegicus (Norway rat). RNAcentral describes it as "long non-coding RNA NONRATT026694". Lineage: Eukaryota; Metazoa; Chordata; Mammalia; Rodentia; Muridae. The record is from RNAcentral.